UGCCAUCUACAUCUCUGUGGGAUUAGUCAUCAUAGUGCUUGGUUUUCUUAUUGCGCUGACGGUGUUGUGUAAGCAGAAGAAACAAGGCAAAAAAUCCCCAAGAAUUACUCAAUCUGGACGUUCAGAUCAUGUCUCCACUGUGCUUUUGCCUUUGGAUACAAGAAAAGACAGUACUGAUGAGUCGCCGCACAUCUACGAUAAUGAUGACAGUGAAUAUCAGGAAAUUGGGGAGCCGUCGCACAAAAACAUGCACACCACCAUCACUAUAUAUUCCACAGCAGAGAGAUCUGAUUCAAUGAUCUACUCAACUGCAGAAGCACAAGCCGAUCCAAUUAUCUACUCCAUGGCAGAGAGACCCGAUGUAAUGAUCUACUCGACCGCAGAGAAAUCGUUCUGAAGUUUACAUCUGACCAGUCUGAAUACGUCAAGACUGUAUCUCAAAGUCGCUCCAUGGAGUGAGAGCUUCACACUCAGUCAAGAGACCAGCUGAUCCAAUGAUCUCCAUUUUUGGGUCAAAAGCGAGUGAAUGAUGUCGUUAUCAGACAAGGUUUUUAAAAUGAAAGUUAGAUGGAGGUUUUAAAGAGUAAAACAUACCUCCCUAACCUAAAACUUUAACCUAAACCUAACCAAUAGUGUCCUACAAGCAAAUGUACAAUUUGCAAAAGUACAUUUUCUAAAGCAACCGCUUCAUUUUGUGUUACUUCUUUCUUGUCACAUGUCAGCUUACUUGCUUGGCUGGGCUUAAACCUUGAUCUUCGAGUCCAGAGUCUGACACUCUAUAAGGUGAGCUACCACGGGAGCUAAAUACACAGGAAUCAGUGUUUACAGGAAAUGUAGGUGGGUCAAGCGUUAAAAUGUAUCGUUUUUCAAACAAUGCGUUAAUGUAAAAGUGUUUCGAUGUCAUAACAUAACAGUGUGUGAGUAAUAGAGUGAAAAAUAAGGGUUUUGAAAGUCACAAUCAGCCGUUGUACUCGUGAAUCGUGUGGAAGUGAGGAAAACGCACAGUUGUUGCAGCACCUCUAGUGUUCAUUUCACCAGGAAACUGCAGCGAAACGUAGACGCGGCAGCUAAAAAUCAGUUUGCAAAAAUGUUAUUAUAGCAAUGUUCAUUCUAUGAGACUAGGCUGCACCAAACACAAACACUGAUGCGAGUGAAAACACUGGAAUCCAGAAAAAGAAAACAGGUUUCCAUUAUGAAUCGUGGAACCGUGUUCAGGAAAAAAGGUGGAUAGAUGUAGGCCUACUAAAGACAUUUUACCAUUGGCCUUACCUAAGCUUGUUGUUCUUGUAUACUUAUUGUGAGGUUAGUGAAUUUAUUGCAGCUAGUAUUACAAUGUUGCAUUUACUACAAUAUUACUGUUCAACGAUAUUGUAUAUAUGACCUCCAUGUGUUAUGGUGUCAAGUUUCUGCCUUUAUUUUGGUGUAUGUUCCACAAUGUUUAGUGUCUCAGUCUCAUAUUAUUCAUAAAAAAGUGUUAAACAUUUGAAAUUAAAAACAUAUGUUCUAAGUUAUACUAUAUUGAUUAAAGAAGUUAUUUGUUUUAUUGUUUGUUGAUCUAUUUUAAAAAUCAGGUAGUGUCUCAUAUCUUAUCAGGUGACUUUGCAGGCAUCCAGCUCAACAUAUUUUUCAUAAUUAAGCAUACAAUAACGUUUAUUGCCAGGCAGCAUCCUUGACAUUACAGCGACUUACAGGAAAAGGCUAAAUUUUAACAACUGAAAGAGGCAAAAGCAUGUGCAGGAAAUAAACUUAGCUGAGAUUCAGAUAAGCAUAAAACAAAUACAAAAAAAAUAACACGUCCUUUAAAGCUUUGUGACAAAGGGCCUCUUUUGGGCGUUACAUCAGAAUAUCAACAGUAAAUGACUUCAGAUAAGAGCUUUUAGUGAUUCUGAUGUGAGAUCAGAGUGAAGAUCCUUUUUUUAUUCAAUCUUUCUGAUCAUGGAUCUUCUCGUGACAUUCGUCCUGUAACAGUGAAAACAGCAACAUCAAAGGAGCAUGACAUUAUGUACAAUAGUUCACCGUAACCUGGUCAGAACGAGAAAAGACAAGGUUUGUACUUUACCACUUGAGUUUUAUGCACCAUUUUUAUAGUUUUAAAAAUUUAUAGACCUGACUUGAAAUGCCUUUUUGGAUCAUUGAAUGAGUCUUCAUCAUGAACAAAGGACCAUCACAGGACUGGUGAUAGUAAAAGUGAACCUUCAGUUAUUGAAGCAGAAGAUAGUGGAAGAGGAAGUCUGUCUUGUUCAGCAGUUCAUGUAGUUGAGGCUACUGGGAAACAUCACACCAAACAGUGCAAUAAAGAAGGACUGAAUCUGCACAUAACGGAGAAGAUAAUUUAAUAAGAGAGAAGAAUGAACACCAUCUUGACUUUCACUCUGCUGAUGAUUCCUGGUGCUGUGACCUCCAUCAGUGUGACAGGAUAUUCAGAGGGUGGAGUCAUCAUCACAUGCAAAUAUGAGAAACAAUAUAGAACAAAUAUGAAGUAUUUUUGUAGAAGUAUUUGGUCAGGGUGCUCUGACCUUAUCAGAACUAACAUUAAAGAUGAAUGGGUGAAUGACGGAAGAUUUUCUCUGUAUGAUGACACAAGAGCAGCAGUCUUCACUGUGAUCAUCAGAGAUCUGAAUAAACAGGAUUCUGGAACAUACUAUUGUGGAUUUUAUGCACAUCUAUAUGCAUACACAGAAGUGAAUCUGAAAGUUAGAGAAGGUAUUCAAAGAAGGACUGUAACAGGAUAUUCAGGUGGAAACAUCAUUAUAAACUCCAAAUAUGAGAAGGAACACACGAACAGACUGAAAUAUAUCUGUAAAACAAAAACAACACAUCCAUGUUUUGAUCUGAUAUACAGUAAAAAUAGAUCAGAAUGGAGCCACAAUGACAGACUGUCUAUUCAUGAUGACAAAACUGCAGGACUCUUGCAAGUGUUUAUCAGAGAACUGAAUGUGGAAGAUUCUGGAAAAUAUCGAAUUAUAUUUCAGGUUUCUGAGGACUACAGUUUCUUCUCUGAACUGAACCUGGAUGUUAAAGAGGAUGAUUGUUGUGAGAAGGUCAUCAGUUUAUCAGCUACUUCAGGAGAAUCUGUGAACAUCAGCUGCAGAUAUCCACAAUCUCACUGGAGAGACAGCAAGUUUUUCUGCAGAAUAUCUGGAGCUGAUACGUGUGCUCAUGAGACAUCUGUGAAUGUGAACAGAAGAUGGACACAAGAGAGACAGUUGCAGCUGUAUGAUGACAGAGAAGUUCAUCUCCUGACUGUAAUCAUCAGUAAUGUGACUGAUUCAGCAGAAUACUGGUGUGGAGUUCAACCUCAUCAACAAUACAAGAUCUUCAUUACACGAGUCCAGCUCAAUGUUACUGUCAAGCUCGACAUAUCAGCAGUGUCUCCAUUAUCAUCAGACUCGUCUCUGAUCAUCAUUCUGUCUGUUGUUCUGGUUCUGAUCUUCAUUGGACUUUUAUUAAUGAUAGUGACUCUUUAUAAGAGGCAUCAGACUCGAGGUGCUGAUUCCUCAUCCAAAAGAGAAAAUGAAACGGUUUUUCAAACGGCUUGUGAUUACGAGGAGAUUAAAGACUUCAGACUUCACAAUGAUUCAGAUACAGGAAGAUCUGCUGAAUACAAUACUGCACAAAUACUCACAAACACUUCUGAUUCUGAUAACGCUCUUUACUCUACAGUGACUUUGACUUACGCAGUGGUGAACUUUCACAAGAAAUCUGAUUGUGUUGAUCGGAUCAGUUUUAGUAAUAAUCAGGAUUACAGUGAAUAUGCAACUGUCAGUCAGGCCAUUGUUUGAGGACACCACAACAGAAAAUGUUUGUUAUAGAUUAUCUCAUUGAAAAGGUCAUACAGGUGGACAAUUUGUAUUAUUGUAAAUAUUUAUAUGUAUUUAAAAUAUAAAGUUAUUUUAAACGUUUUCUAAGUUCUCAAUGGCAUACCACUAUACUCUUCUGUUCUUACCAAAACCGAGAGUUCAUGGCAAACUUGCCGCAAAUUCGCCACUGAUCAUUUUCACAUGCAAAUCAGCUUUGCGGUAAACAUGCGGUAAAUUGUCCAUUGUUACCAAAAGUUUGCCAGAGGUUCACCACUACUGGUGAAGAGCUGCAAACUUCUGGCAAACAUUUGCAGUGAACCACAAGCUCAUUUGCAUAUGAAAGUAAUGAGCAGUAAAUGUGUGGCAAGUUUGUGGCAAGUUUAGGUUUUUUGUAAGCUGUGGCUGAAAUAGUAAAGAGUAGUACAGUAGCAAUGUUGGUUAAGUUACUCAAAAAAGUAAUCCACUACAAAUUGCUAAAUGCUUCUCUAACGCUGUAAUCUGAUUACUGAUUACUUUAUUGAAAAGUAAUCACAUUACUAGUUACUUUACUUUUACGGUACUUUCUAAAACACUUCACAGAAAAGUUUUUUUUUCUCAAAUAAAAAUAAUGUUUUUCAUUGUUGCAUGUAAUUCAUACGAUUGUUUCUCCCUCUCAAUGACUCGUUAGGGGCGUAUGCCCUUCACAAAAACACAAACAGACAUACAUAUGGACAGAAUUUAGGUUUUAAAUCCAAAAUACAUAGUACUUCUUUAGAAAUGUGUAACCUAAGUAAAGUUCUUAAAAUUAUUUACCUUAAUUGAAAGUUAGUAACUGUAAUCUGAUUACUAGAAUUUAAAAUGUAAUGUCUUACACUAAUUUUGACUAAAAAGUCAUUUGAUCACAGUAAAUAUUUUUUUUUAGUUAGAUUACACCCAUGUGAGCUGACGUGUGGUUGUUUAUGCAUAUAUCAGUCUAUGGCUUCUGUUACUGUAUGGUCGGGGACUCUUGACUGGCUCAAAUCUAUAAACAAAUAUUUUCUGUUACCUGUUUAGAAUCAGAACAAACCCGAUUCGCAAAUGAAUCACUCUUGUGAGUCAAUUCUUUUCAAUGAAUCGUUCAAACGGUAUUGGCAAAACUAUCUGAAUUGGUACCUGAUUCACUCUGAAUUAUUAAAGCGGUUUCCACUCAGACUGAAUCAUUUGGAGUGGUUUCUAACACCGUAACUGGAUAAUGAAUGACAUUACAUAAAUAUUCUUAGCCCCUGAUGUUUUCAAAUCCUAGACAUGCCUCUAAAAGGAAGCCUAACUAUUUUUAGUACUUCCUUCAUAUAGUCAUAGUCUUGUUAAUAAAUGAACUUGUUUUCUGCUUUUCACUCUCUCGUGUAGUCUCACUGAGUUUGUUUUUAGUAGGGUUCCAGCCCAGAUCACCAUAUUACAUUAAUUUAUAGUUGGCAUGAACAUGGAUCCUUAUUAGUGUAAUCUCAUUGCGGUGACACAUGCUAGACAACAUCUGAGCUGGUACGACAAUCGUUGUCUCUCAGCAGUACUUAUUCUAACAGAGACGGAGGAAGUGGAUCUCUCUCAAUUUCAACAGUUAAUGUAGAAGAUGGAACCAGGAAACACUUGUAACACAUCAAGAACUUGAGAACUUUGAUAAAUAAGGACUGAAUCUACAAAUAAGAGAAGAAUGAACAUCAUCUUGACUUUCACUCUGCUGAUGAUUCCUGGUGCUGUGACCUCCAUCAGUGUGACAGGAUAUUCAGAGGGUGGAGUCAUCAUCACAUGCAAAUAUGAGAAACAAUAUACAGAAAAUCAAAAGUAUUUUGUAGAGGUCAGUGGUCAAAGUGCUCUGACCUUAUCAGAACUAACAUUAAAGAUGAAUGGGUGAAUGACGGAAGAUUUUCUCUGUAUGAUGACACAAGAGCAGCAGUCUUCACUGUGAUCAUCAGAGAUCUGAAUAAACAGGAUUCUGGAACAUACUAUUGUGCAAUUGAUAUCUCUAAGAAAAAAGAUAUCAACACAGAAGUAAAUCUGACCGUUAAAGAAGGUGAGUAACUCAAACCUUCAAACUCGAGACAAUCUCCACAAUAUCAUCAUACUUACACUAAACAUUGACUGUAAUUACUGCAGUUACUGCAUCCGUACACCAUAAAAACCACAUAAAAAACAAUAACUGGGAAAACAUGAGACAAUUAUUUCUGCUAAUGUAAGAUUUGCAUUACAUUAUUUUUCUCUGUUUUAUCUUGUUUGUUGAUAAAUAUCAUUACAAAGCAAGUGACAUGAUGUUUGACUAGCAACAUGAAGUGUGUAGGGGGCACAAUUUACUGGCCUUAACGUGAAUAUUAAACCUAAUCAUGCAAAGAAUAUAUAGAAAAUAUUUCAUUCUUUUUUUCAUCACCAUUUUUGGGUUUGUGUAGGUCAUCAGAUCAGAACAGUAACACUAUAUUCAGGUGGAAACAUUAUUAUAAACUCCAAAUAUGAGAAGUGAAAUAUGUGUAAUAGUGGAACAUAUCAUCAAUAUGAAUGUCUCUUUGUGACACC
Molecule: RNA transcript, 6320 nt
Organism: Myxocyprinus asiaticus (Chinese sucker)
Lineage: Eukaryota; Metazoa; Chordata; Actinopteri; Cypriniformes; Catostomidae
Gene name: polymeric immunoglobulin receptor-like
Exons: 12
Source: RefSeq, a predicted model, not a curated record